GCCUACGGCCACACCGGACCAAACUCGCCCAAUCCUGUCCGAUCUCAGAAACUAAGCAGCCCCGGGCCCAGCUAGCAUAUGGAUGGGAGACUGCCUGGGAAUCCCGGGUGCUGUAGCCU
This 119-nucleotide ribosomal RNA is filed under the name Sphenodon punctatus (tuatara). The record is from RNAcentral. Lineage: Eukaryota; Metazoa; Chordata; Lepidosauria; Sphenodontia; Sphenodontidae.